CUCGUAGGCGGCCAACUAAGUCAGACGUGAAAUCCCUCGGCUUAACCGGGGAACUGCGUCUGAUACUGGAUGGCUUGAGGUUGGGAGAGGGAUGCGGAAUUCCAGGUGUAGCGGUGAAAUGCGUAGAUAUCUGGAGGAACACCGGUGGCGAAGGCGGCAUCCUGGACCAAUUCUGACGCUGAGGAGCGAAAGCCAGGGAGCAAACG
RNAcentral lists this ribosomal RNA (206 nucleotides) under uncultured bacterium. RNAcentral's name for it is "partial 16S ribosomal RNA". It matches the Rfam family "Bacterial small subunit ribosomal RNA", at positions 568 to 774 of the family's 1533-position model. The record is from RNAcentral.